Molecule: ribosomal RNA, 209 nt
Filed under: Hypoponera sp. 13.FGSGt
Lineage: Eukaryota; Metazoa; Arthropoda; Insecta; Hymenoptera; Formicidae
Also listed under: 1 other name
Description: partial large subunit ribosomal RNA
Source: RNAcentral
GAAUUUUAUAUUUUAAUUUUUAUUUUUAAUAUUAUAUAAAUUUAAAAUAUUUUAUUGGGAGGAUAAAUAAAUUUAAUGAACUUUAAAAAAAUUAAUACAUAAAUUAAUGAUUUAUGAAAAAUUAAUAAAUAAUAUUUAAUAAAAAAUUAAUUACCUUAGGGAUAACAGCAUAAUAUUUUUUUGUAGUUCAUAUAUAAAAAAGUGAUUGU